RNAcentral lists this long non-coding RNA (2227 nucleotides) under Homo sapiens (human). RNAcentral's name for it is "non-protein coding lnc-SLA2-1:1". Lineage: Eukaryota; Metazoa; Chordata; Mammalia; Primates; Hominidae. The record is from RNAcentral.
AAAAAAACAAAAAAAAAUUUUAUUUGACAAAAGACAAAAAAGUUAUUUACAGUAGUUUUUGCUCAAAUAAUUCAAUGGGACAACUGUGCUUCUCCUCCAGGUUUAUCUUACAACCAAACCCAAGCAGAGUCUGCCCUACCCAACACCCCAUUUUACAUAAUGGGGAAAUGCCAACCAGAAUUCAGCAGCAUGGCUCCCUCACCACCCUCCAUUGCUCAGUGCACUGUGGGGAGGGAAAAUCCCACCUCAGCCCAAUACACUUCCAGAGUUCCCUACUACAGGCAUCCUGCAGCAGUUGCACCAGACCUGGGCUCACUGACAGGGCUGGGAUGGAAGAGGCUGAGGCAAAUAAUUGCUUGAACCCGGGAGGCGGAGGUUACAGUGAGCUGAGAUCGCACCACUGCACUCCAGCCCGGGUGACAGAGCAUGACUCUGUCUCAAAAAAACAAACAAACAAACAAAAAACAAAAAACAAAACAGCAAAAGAAAAAAUGGGGGAAAGGGAGGAGCAUAAGACCAAUCGUUAUCUGUUCACUGGGCAGGGGCUUCUGUAAUUCUAAUUUAAAGAAAGGUGAAACAAAGACAAUCCCAGCUAGGAGGCUUCUAACCCUUUUCCAGCCCCACCUUCUCUGAAGGCAGUUCCUCCGCAGCAGUGGACACCAUUCCUGCUUUCCCCAAAGUUUCCUGCCACCAUUGUGGGAAAAGCUGCCUCUCUGGAGGACUUCCUGACCAGCAGAUGGCUCACUUUUCUCCCAAGUAGGAGGUGCUGGGAGCUUCUGACAUAUGGGCCCCUCUAAUCCAAGUUGCUAAAAGAAUUCAAAACUGAGGCUGCAGGGCAAAAGUGUUCAAGAACAAAGGGAAAAACACUAAAGAAAAAAAAGAAAAAAAAAAUCCAUCGCUUCAGUCUAGUUUACUUCCCCCACCCACCCAAAAAAACUACAAUAAAAAUUAAAAGAAAAACCAAACACCUUUUGAUCUUAUCUUUCUCUGCUAGGUGCCUAGAAAGUUGAGUCAGAGUCUGCUGGACUGCCCCCUGCUGUGGCUUUCUACCCUUCUGUGCCUGCGGCAGACAAGCCAAUGCGCUCAUACGGUUGUUUUUUUUUUUUUUCCCUGCCUUUUUUUUGGUAAACCAAACCAAUGAUAAAACAACCAUUUGGAAUUUCACACUACUGCAGAGACUUAGCUGGUCCCCAAGAUAAAAAUAUUCCUUUCUUCCAAAACAAUCCUCAGUGGCAGUGGUGGGUCCUUCCCAGCUCACCAGAACGCUAUCAUGCAGUGCACUCUCGUUCCCCACACCUGGGCUAACUACUGCCGUGAAUGCAAACCACAGCAAAAAAGGGAAAAAGAAAACAGUUUAGCAAAAAUCUAAACAUUCAACUGGAGUCGGUUCUGUUACAUCCACUGGGUUCCUCUUUUCUUUUGUUCACGCAUAUGAACUUGGAAUGUCCACACCUGGCUUGACAGAAACAGCACAGGGGCAGCUUGGACCCAACAUAGGACUGAAUUUGGCAGCUUUCCUGAGCCCAGCCCAGGAAACCAGGCUGGAACAAAGGUGUCCCAGGGAUUUUCUGGAGAAGCAGCAGAAGCAGCAGCACCAUGCUUGUCUCCGAUCUCUUGGUCUCAUCACUGAGCGGAGGCCUGGAGAAACGGCAGAGUCAGCAGAGGAGAGGGCCCCCAUCACAGUGCAGUGGUGCCAGCUGGCAUCUUCCUGUUGAAGACCUCUGGACAGAGGAGAUGAUCCCAAUGUUUGGCAGUGAUCCAUAGAAAACCCUCUGUAUGAAAGGGAACCAAAACGGAAACCCAGGACAGCUGGCUGGAGCCUUCAGCACCCUUCUUGGCAGAUGCCUACUGGGGAUUUUCAGAGACUAAAGGGAUGGGAGUGUGCAGUAAUGGGAGUGAUGGGUCCUGCUGCUUCUGAAGCUCCAUCUCAGCAGCCCUCUGUAGCGCCACCUCCACCAGCAGCUGGAAGCUGCUGAAGUCCUCUUUGUCCUGCUCUGGGGGUGUGGGUGGUGGCGUGUUGAAGAGUCCACCUGUGGGGCUUCCAGCCUCAGCCCUGGUCAGCAGAGUAAGUGUGCUACCAGGGGUCACCAGGGGCUUGGGAGACUCCAGCUCCCCACGUGGGAAAGGGGCUGCUGGCUUUUCCCCCUGGCCUGAGUGAAGCGGCAUGGAGCACACAGACAGGGAGAGCACAUUGGUGGGGGCUGGGACAGACACAGCCAGCACUGAG